AUGGAACCCAGGGCUUUGCACGUGCUAGGCAAGCCCUCUACCACUAAACUACAUCCCAACCUGUCAUUUCUUUUUUCUUUUUUUUUUUGGCGGGGGUAAGGGGAUACUGGGGAUUGAACUCAGGGACACAUCAACUACUGAGUCACAUCCCCAGCCCUAUUUUGUAUUUUAUUUAGAGACAGGGUCUCACUGAGUUGCUUAGCACCACACUAUUGCUGAGAUUGGCUUUGAAUUCGCGAUCCUCCUGUCUCAGCCUCCCCAGCUGCUGAGAUUAGAGCCCUGCGCCAUCUCGCCUGGCCCGUCAUUUUUUUUUUAGAUUAUUUCAGUGGACACAUAUAUACAUUUUAAUAUAUACAUAUAUAUAUAUAUUUUUUUUAAAUUAUGAGUUCAUGUUGAUAUUUUCAGUUUAAACAUUGUAGCGUUUCACUUAAUUUCUUUGACAUCAUAAUUAUAUUGGAAUUCAUGAAUCUUUGUCAAUACUCUGUUAACAAAAACACCACCACAUGUGAUACCCAUAAUAUUAUUCUCUCAGGAAAAUAAGUAUUCUUUUCAACUGUACACUUUUAAUAUUUGCUAUUUAAUGUCAACAGUUAAGCAGAAGAUAAUAACUGUCCUGAAUGAUGUUCUAUACAUACUCGUAGAUACUUUACCAAACUAUAUUAGAUUUUUAAUUUUAUUUUAUUGUUUGGUUUUCAUACUUUUCUGUCUUUCUCUAAAUGAGUAUUUCAUAAACAUUAAUCCAUCAUUAUACAAUUAAUUCUCAUAAUUUUUAUAGUAGAACCCAUAAUCUACUUCUCUUAACAGCUAUUGAACAAAAUUGUUUAUUACUAACUAAAAUGAUUUAUAAUCAUUCAUCAGUUACAACUUUUUAACCAAAGCAUUCCACACCUAUUAACCCAUUCGGUUCUCACAUCAACCCCAUGAGUAGUGUGCCUAUUAACAAUAAAGAAUCAGGGUGGGGCUGGGGAUAUAGCUCAUUUGGUAGAGUGCUUGCCUUGCAUGCACAAGGUGCUGAGUUCAAUCCCCAGCACCACAAAAAAAAAAAAGAAUCAGGCUGGGAUAAUAAUAGGUUGAUGUGUAAAAAAACGACCUAUAGGUUGUUUGUGACCAGUGCCCAUUUGGACUAGUCAGGCUUCCCAUCUUCCUGGGGGUGGGGCCAGUGGGAGUGGCCAUAUCAUACAGUUACAUAUUUUGACUAUCACCUUGAAAGCAGAAUCAUAAUGUUUAAAAUUACUUGCUCCAAGGUUCAAGGUUAGUAAUUGACAAAGAUAGAAAAUGACAAAAUUAGGACUAGAACACAAGCCUUCUGAUUCCUACUGUGAUCCUAUUUCUACCAGUUCUUUUAUUAAUAAAGACAGCUAAUAAUCCUUCUAUCCAAAAAUAUUGAUUAAUUUAUAUUUGGGGCCAGGCACAGUGGCACAUGCCUGUAAUCCUAGUGGCUCCAGAGGCUGAGGCAGGAGGAUUAUGAGUUAAAAACCAACCUCAGCAAUUUAGCAAGGCCCUAAGCAACUUAGAAAGAACCUGUCUCAAAAUAAAAUAUAAAAAGUGCUGGGGAUGUGGCUCAGUGGUUCAGUGCCCCUGGGUUAAAUCCUUGGUUUAAAAAAAAUGUUAAUAGGAGCUGGGGUUGUGGCUCAAGUGGAGGCGUGCUCGCCUAGCAUGUGUGAGGCACUGGGUUUGAUUAUCAGCACCACAUAAAAAAAUAAAAAAUAAGAUAUUGUGUCCACCUAAAACUAAAAAAUAAAUAUUAAAAAAAUUA
Molecule: long non-coding RNA, 1756 nt
Filed under: Marmota monax (woodchuck)
Lineage: Eukaryota; Metazoa; Chordata; Mammalia; Rodentia; Sciuridae
Source: RNAcentral